AACACUGGUCCGCGUCAUGUCGCAUCCAUUGUGGAGCGAACUUAAACAAGCAGUAGAUUGAUACUCGAAGAAGUAGGAAAAGAGGAAAGGGAAAUAGUGUCAUCCGGGAGAACAUAAACAAACAAAAAUUGGAUUCAAUACAGGUUUGCAAGUUUGGAAAAGAAAAAUAGUGCUUUAGUUACGAGGUGAAGAUUAAUAUCUAUACAAUAGGUUGUUUUUGUUUCGAUUAUUGUGUUACCAAAUCUGGUCGGGUGAUAACAAAACAUUCAACUGCUGUGGUACAGGGGUGACCAAACGUUAUUCGGCGACUCACAGCAUAUAAUUGAAGGCUGAGUAGAAAUUUCUGCAGGAAAUAGAAUAGACAGUAGCUCAUAAUCGUAGGAAGGAAGGGUAGCCAAGGAAAAGAAGGCAAACUAAAAUCCUUUGAUCUGCCGUUAAUAAAGGCCGAUUUUCAAAGACAGUUUGUAUCGAUUUAAUCUCAACAC
Molecule: long non-coding RNA, 485 nt
Organism: Armigeres subalbatus
Lineage: Eukaryota; Metazoa; Arthropoda; Insecta; Diptera; Culicidae
Exons: 3
Source: RefSeq, a predicted model, not a curated record